RNAcentral lists this ribosomal RNA (523 nucleotides) under uncultured bacterium. RNAcentral's name for it is "bacterial SSU rRNA". It matches the Rfam family "Bacterial small subunit ribosomal RNA", at positions 416 to 909 of the family's 1533-position model. The record is from RNAcentral.
CCUCGGUUGUAAACCACUUUUGGCAGAAAAUCGCUGUUAAUACCAUGGGCGGAUGACGGUACUGCAAAUAAGCACCGGCUAACUACGUGCCAGCAGCCGCGGUAAUACGUAGGGUGCGAGCGUUAAUCGGGGGNAAAAAANCAAANUUUUUCUUAACUGGGCGUAAAGCGUGCGCAGGCGGUUUUGUAAGACAGAUGUGAAAUCCCCGGGCUUAACCUGGGAACUGCAUUUGUGACUGCAAGACUAGAGUGUGUCAGAGGGAGGUGGAAUUCCGCGUGUAGCAGUGAAAUGCGUAGAGAUGCGGAAGAACACCGAUGGCGAAGGCAGCCUCCUGGGAUAACACUGACGCUCAGGCACGAAAGCGUGGGGAGCAAACAGGAUUAGAUACCCUGGUAGUCCACGCCCUAAACGAUGUCAACUAGUUGUUGGGGAUUCAUUUCCCUUAGNUNNAACGUAAAGACCGUAAANCGCCGUGAAGUUGACCGCCUGGGGAGUACGGCCGCAAGGUUAAAACUCAAAGGAA